Molecule: ribosomal RNA, 783 nt
Filed under: Triticum aestivum (bread wheat)
Lineage: Eukaryota; Viridiplantae; Streptophyta; Magnoliopsida; Poales; Poaceae
Description: partial small subunit ribosomal RNA
Source: RNAcentral
AUGGCCUCACAAGCAAUCCUGGAAGCCUUUGGGAGAAUCUCUGGACUCUACACCAACUUCAACAAGUCCUCGGCUUUCCCUAUCUGUUGUGAUGAGCUGGCAACUAAUGAAGUGCUCUCCGAGUUUGCGGGAACAACUGACUCUUUCCCUUGCAAAUAUCUCGGGCUACCACUUAGCCUCCACAACCUUAGGCGCGCCGACCUCCAAAUUCUGAUUGACAAGAUAGCUGCGAAGCUCGCAGGAUGGAAAGGCAAGCUCCUGAACAAAGCGGGAAGGCUAACGUUGAUCAACUCAGUCCUUACCUCUAUCACCACCUACCUGUUGACCCUGUUCGCUCCUAGCAAGUGGCUGAUCAAGAGGAUCGACAAGCUUAGGAGAAGUUUUCUUUGGAAGGGCAGUGAGGAGGAGGCCAAAGGUGGGAUUUGUGCAGUCAACUGGCUGCUGGUUUGCUCACCAAAAAAGUACGGUGGACUGGGCAUCAAAAACCUCUCCUCUUUUAGCAGAGCUCUACGGUUGCGGUGGGCCUGGUUCGCGUGGCAAAGCCAACCUAGGCCCUGGUUUGGAAUGAAACUCCCCUGCUCUGAAGCGGAUAUGCAGCUCUUUCAUGCCUCCACCAACAUUCACCUUGGAAACGGGCAAACUGCGAGUUUCUGGAAGUCAAAGUGGUUGGAUGGGGCCGCACCACGUGACCUUGCACCCUCCCUCUUCAAGCUGGCGCGCAGGAAAAACUACACUGUGGCUCAAGCCAUGCAUGACAGGAAGUGGAUGAAGGGGCUUGAAUGA